CUGCGGAGGAUCAUUACCGAACCGUCGACACGAGUUGUUGCUGGUCCUCGAAAGGGGGCACGUGCACGCUCUGUUGCACAUCCACUCACACCUGUGCACACUCUGUAGUUCUAUGGCCUUGGGGACUCUGUCCUCUCGCCGUGGUCCUACGUCUUCACACACACGCCGUAACAAAGUCUCAUGGAAUGCAUGUCGCGUUUAACGCAAUACAAUACAACUUUCAGCAACGGAUCUCUUGGCUCUCGCAUCGAUGAAGAACGCAGCGAAAUGCGAUAAGUAAUGUGAAUUGCAGAAUUCAGUGAAUCAUCGAAUCUUUGAACGCACCUUGCGCCCUUUGGCUAUUCUGAAGGGCAUGCCUGUUUGAGUAUCAUGAACACCUCAACUCUCAUGGCCUGCCAUGAUGAGCUUGGACUUUGGAGGUCUUGCCGGUGUACCGUCGGCUCCUCUCAAACGAAUCAGCUUGCCAGCGUUUGGCGGCGUCACAGGUGUGAUAACUAUCUACGCUUGUGGACUUCCGCCAGGCAACCUCCAGCGAUGGGGGUUCGCUGGAGCUCACAAACGUCUCUCCUGAGCGAGGACAGCUUUUUGAACGUUUGAUCUCAAAUCAGGUAGGACUACCCGCUGAACUUAAGCAUAUCAAUA
Molecule: ribosomal RNA, 642 nt
Filed under: uncultured Tomentella
Lineage: Eukaryota; Fungi; Basidiomycota; Agaricomycetes; Thelephorales; Thelephoraceae
Description: eukaryotic LSU rRNA
Rfam family: 5.8S ribosomal RNA (bases 216-370)
Source: RNAcentral